Molecule: long non-coding RNA, 1618 nt
Organism: Myotis brandtii (Brandt's bat)
Lineage: Eukaryota; Metazoa; Chordata; Mammalia; Chiroptera; Vespertilionidae
Exons: 3
Source: RefSeq, a predicted model, not a curated record
GAGGAGAAGGAUGAGCAGCAGUAUUCACUGAGGAAGAGAAAAAAUGAAGAUAUGACAUCACAGAUGCCAAGAGGUAAUGUGUAUUGUAGAAAUUUUCAAGAACAAAUAUGUAAAAGAGAAGAAACUAAAAUUACCAGUUACCCCAAUUACUCCAAGGGGCAGUGCUUGAAGAAAUGGAUAAACUUAGAGUAAUUCACACAAUAAGAAUGCACAAACAGAAUUUUUAACCUCAAAACAAAACCUGUCUGGUGAAGUAUAUUAAAUUCUGGUUAUCUGGUUGCCUACAUUUCUCCCAAUGUAUUUUCAAUGACCUAAAUCCAAGUUUGAAGUAAAAGUUCAUCCCUUCCUGGACAUCAGCCAUUCUUAUUUUCAUGUGCUUCCCUGGACUUGCCUGCAAAGUCUGUUGUUGCUAUCCCAGGCAUCACCCAGAACCACAAGUGCUGUGAGCCCAGAGAAAUGCAAAUCUCAGUGAUAAUCUUGAAUAUUUUAUCCAACAACUAGAAGCCAUUUACUUAAUGGAAAGUAUUACAAUGCAUGAUGCCAUUCCAAUCAAGGCUUAAUUCAUUUGCAGGCAGACUUUCAAGAGCUUGAACCUGCAUUUUGCUUAUAAAAGGAGCCACUCCACAGUUAAAUUUCACAGGAAUUUAAACCAUCCAUCCACUGCCAACCUGAUCUAGUUUUACCCCUCUGAUGCUACGGUUACCUUUUCAGAUUCAUUGGAAACAUUUUUAGCCAACAGGUCCAACAGAGACUGAUCUUGAUGUACCUGGACUCUGAAAAGCCGUGGUGGAGGCUGGGCCUGGAUUGCAUUAUAGUAUGGCAACCCGAGAUGACUCUGGGGUAUGGGGAAGUAGGGGGAAGCAAUGAUCAAAUAGGGUUUCAUUUACACCUUUGCUUGUAAUUUAGAUGUCUUGUCUAGAUUAAAGCCAUUAGUGGGCACAAAUGGAGAAAAUGUGUUUGAGUGUGAUAUGGUUUGAAUUUCUACUAUCUAACUAUGAAUCAAAACCAGGAACAAGAGUAAUAUGGGCAUACAGAAGCAGCCAGAGAGAACCAAGACUGUUUGGUUAAAGGUUAUAUCUGGUUUCAUAAUAAAGGGGAAGCUAGGACACAUAAUAGAAAUCACUAUAUAUUAUUUAUGUAUAGUUAGGGUGCUAUAUUAAAUUUACAAUGAAUUUUCUAUGGUUCUUGCCAUAGACUAUGGAUUCAGUCAUUUUCAAGACUCUUUUAGUAAUUUUUAUAAAUUCCCAUGGUAAUGAACCCCUUCAAGUAUUGUUAAAUAUAAGCUGUCUGAACUGGGGUGGAUUACAUCAGACUAGAGUCAAUAGUCUAUAAAUGGUCCUUCUUUUCAGAAUUCUGUCUCAAUGAGGUCUGUUUCUAUAAUAAAAUGGAAAUCUUAUUCCCCCAGAAUUUCUUGUAAGAAGAAUUUCUUUUUUUAUUGAGUUUAUUGGGGUGACAUUGGUUAAUAAAAUUAUAUAGGUUUCAGGUGUACAAUUCUAUCAUAUGUCAUUGGUAUAUUGUAUUGUGUAUAUACACCCCAAAUAAAGUCUCUUUACAUCACUACUUAUUCCCCUGUACCCUUUUCUACCCUACUCCCCCGCCUUUCCCUCUGGUAACCACC